Lonchura striata (white-rumped munia) is the source of this 746-nucleotide non-coding RNA. The record is from RefSeq and is a predicted model, not a curated record. Lineage: Eukaryota; Metazoa; Chordata; Aves; Passeriformes; Estrildidae.
CCCUCCCCCGGUGCAGGCCGCGCGGGCGCCGGGCGUACCUGGUGGAAGAGCUCGAAGAUGAGCUCCUCGGUGACCUUGGGGUCCAGGCGUUCACUUCUCCAAGGACUUUGGAAAGCAUCCCUGGCUCUCCCCAGCUGCUGCAAUCCCCUGGGUAUCCCAGAAGAUGCUCGACGUAAAACGGGUGUUCUCCAUCUGGAAAAAUUUUGAAAGGGGCAGUUGAGCCUUGAUUUUUCAUUAGAUCCCCUCGCGUUGCAGCAGAUCCGAUUUCCUUGUUAAUUGGGUGCUGUUCAUUUUCUCCACUUCAUUACUUGCCGCCGCACCUAGAAUUUAUAUCCAUUUGGCUUAAUCGCGUUCGCCUGGUUAAAUUCCAAACAGUCACUCGCUCAGAAAGGGAAUUACUACCUCGCUUUGCCAGGACUUCCACUUUGCCUUAAUUUCCCCGGAGCCCCGUUGGCUCCGCUCUGCCUGUUUUCCCUGGCUGGGUCCCCUGGGCCUGGCUGGGAGCGCGGGGUGCCCGUGCCAUCCUGGCUCGUUCCACGUGCCACGGCAGGAGCUGCUGGGCUCUGGCAUUGCCCAGCACAGCCUCGCCCAGCCCAGGCUUGAAAAAUGCACGGUGGGAGAGCAGGAGCCACGUCAGGUGUAUCAGAGGUGCUUUUGGGGUUCUCUUGGCUUGUUUGUGUUGCUAUUUUGUGCUCUUUUUGCUCUUCAAAGGAGCAAAGUGGAAAACCAGAAAACUUUUGCUUUGC